This 492-nucleotide ribosomal RNA is filed under the name uncultured bacterium. RNAcentral's name for it is "partial 16S ribosomal RNA". It matches the Rfam family "Bacterial small subunit ribosomal RNA", at positions 29 to 507 of the family's 1533-position model. The record is from RNAcentral.
AGUGAACGCUGGCGGUGGGCCUAACACAUGCAAGUCGAACGGCAGCACAGUAAGAGCUUGCUCUUACGGGUGGCGAGUGGCGGACGGGUGAGGAAUACAUCGGAAUCUACUUUUUCGUGGGGGAUAACGUAGGGAAACUUACGCUAAUACCGCAUACGACCUACGGGUGAAAGCAGGGGAUCUUCGGACCUUGCGCGAUUGAAUGAGCCGAUGUCGGAUUAGCUAGUUGGCGGGGUAAAGGCCCACCAAGGCGACGAUCCGUAGCUGGUCUGAGAGGAUGGGCAGCCACACUGGAACUGAGACACGGUCCAGACUCCUACGGGAGGCAGCAGUGGGGAAUAUUGGACAAUGGGCGCAAGCCUGAUCCAGCCAUACCGCGUGGGUGAAGAAGGCCUUCGGGUUGUAAAGCCCUUUUGUUGGGAAAGAAAAGCUGCAGGUUAACACCCCGCUGUUCUGACGGUACCCAAAGAAUAAGCACCGGCUAACUUCGUG